GUUAAUCGGGCUUUUGGCUCCGGGAGUUUCCUUUAAACUCGCCGGCUUUGUUUCUGGAGGGGUUUCGACCCUUGCCGGCUUUAAAUCUUGUCUUAGGCUGUGUAAUAGGUACUGGUUUCAAUCUUGAAUAACAGAGAUAGAAUUAGUGAAUGCUAUCUCAAUCAGUUUAGUUUUAGAUGUUUAGUUUUAGAUGUUUAGUCGUGGGUAAUUUAGGAUGGUUUCAAUCUUUGGCUUGGUCUUCAUAUGAGAAUUGGAUGUUUUGUUGGCCUUUUUCUAAGGUCUGGUAGUACGUCUUAGACGUUUGGUCCGGAUUUUGGGGCUCUCAGUCUCUAGUUCUAUAUCAUUGGUGUAAUCAGGUAUGGUAACAUGGUCUUGCUGUUUGUGGUUUGUUUUGUGGCUUGUGCUUCUCUUGAUUGUGGAAGCUCCAGACUAGGUUUAUUUGCUUGCUCUGAGUUAGGGAGUUGAUCUUCCUUCAGCUUUCCUUCUCGUUGUAGUUGGUGUUUCCCGUCUUGGUUUAUUUCGCAGACUCCUCCUUGUUCUCUCGUCUGCGUUACUUGGGUUUGAAAUUGAGAAGCGGGUCGUUGAAGUUGUUACCUUCCUUUCAAGCUUUAGGAUCUCAAUGGUCGAGACUCUUGCAGAAGUUUCGGGUUGAUUCAAUUGCACUCAUGGCUCUGCCGGUCGCGCGUUAAGUGUAAAGGUUCCUGGGACAGGGGUUAAGUGAGAGAUUCGUUCAACCCUCUCUUAGUCUUUUAUUUUCUAUUAGAAUUUCUGCUAGAUUUGCUCCUAUUAAGUCCUUGUUAGUUUGUUGCCAAUCUUUGAUCCUUUCCAGCUUGCUUACGACAGCUUAUAAGCUUAGUUUGUUAUCUUUUUCAGAACUUGUAAUAGGCUUGACUGUUUACUAGUUGUAUUGGCUCCAUAAUCUAUAAAGAACACUAUUGUGAAAAAAAAAAAAAGAACAGAGCAAAAACAAAAACCUGAGUAAAGAUAAAGAUA
RNAcentral lists this long non-coding RNA (993 nucleotides) under Arabidopsis lyrata. RNAcentral describes it as "long non-coding RNA (ALYR_LNC001800)". Lineage: Eukaryota; Viridiplantae; Streptophyta; Magnoliopsida; Brassicales; Brassicaceae. The record is from RNAcentral.